This 524-nucleotide ribosomal RNA is filed under the name uncultured bacterium. RNAcentral's name for it is "bacterial SSU rRNA". It matches the Rfam family "Bacterial small subunit ribosomal RNA", at positions 28 to 535 of the family's 1533-position model. The record is from RNAcentral.
GACGAACGCUGGCGGCGUGCCUAACACAUGCAAGUCGAACGGGGGGAACAUGAAGUAUUUCGGUACGGAAUGCGCCCCUAGUGGCGAACGGGUGAGUAACACGUGGGCAACCUGCCCCAGACUGGGGGAUAACAUUGUGAAAACAGUGCUAAUACCGCAUGACAGGGUUCCGGGCAUCCGGGACCCUUGAAAGGAGAAAUCCGGUCAGGGAUGGGCCCGCGUCCAAUUAGCUAGUUGGCGGGGUAACGGCCCACCAAGGCGACGAUUGGUAGCCGAACUGAGAGGUUGAUCGGCCACAUUGGGACUGAGACACGGCCCAGACUCCUACGGGAGGCAGCAGUGAGGAAUAUUGGUCAAUGGGCGCAAGCCUGAACCAGCCAUCCCGCGUGCAGGAAGACGGCCCUAUGGGUUGUAAACUGCUUUUCCAGGGAGAGAAACUUACGCACGUGUUGCGUGACUGACGGUACCCUGGGAAUAAGCAUCGGCUAACUCCGUGCCAGCAGCCGCGGUAAACUGUAGUCGUC